Molecule: long non-coding RNA, 2448 nt
Filed under: Bemisia tabaci
Lineage: Eukaryota; Metazoa; Arthropoda; Insecta; Hemiptera; Aleyrodidae
Description: lncRNA ENSSSA1UGG001489
Source: RNAcentral
AGAAAUCUAAAUUUCUAUGAGAGGCAGUUUCAUUACAUUUUACCAAAAAACUUAUAAAAGGCAUGUAUGACGAAUUGUGACCCUUUUUUUUUUCACUUUUGAUUUUGAUUUUGAUUGUACGUCCGCUCUCUUCUCACGUUAACGUGGUGAAACAUGGCCUACGUCUGGCAUUUCACGUCACGGAGACACGUGACGUUGGUGCUUGUUGAAAUCCUCAGUACAUUACCUUCUAUCUCGACGAAUUUUCGCGAUUAUAUAUUAGUGCAGCAUCUGAAAUGAUCUCGCGAUGGUCACGAACGGAGUUCUACCUUCAGUUUUAGUGCUUGGUGUCCUAUUUCUGAUGAUCCUCACGGGGGAUGCUACCCUAAAAAAUGAACCCCCGCAUGAAGCGACGAGCUCAUCGGAGGGAUGGCCGCUCGGGCUUGGAGCUGUCUCAAACUCGUGGUCUCAAACAUCAAGCCCGGUGCCUCGAACCUCAAGCCCAGUGUCUCGAACCUCGAUCCCGGUGCCUCGAACCUCAAAACAGGGUUCUCGUGCGGAGUCGCAUAAAAAUCCUGGCUGCUUCGGUUUUGUGUCCCCUCAAAGAAGAACCUCCGGUGAUCAGAAAAAAACCCAAGGCUACUUAAAGAGCCAAAAAAGUGGAUGGGGCUCCAGGUUCGGCAGGAUUUUCAGUAAGAAGCCCAAGGGCGUUUACAGUAACGGGAUGCUUUUGAACCCGGACAAACCGGAAGAUAUGCCUUCUCACCGCGCAAAUAACGGGCUCCUUUUCAGGGAAAAACCUUUUCUUCCCCCGACAUCAGGAUGAAAUUUCACCACAGUCACAAGAAAUUUCGGGAGAAAGUGAAUAAGUUUUUAGUUGAAAAAUAUAUUUUUUAUAUCGUUGUGCGGUUUAAUUAGCGGAAGUUACACUGAAAAAAGCUUGGCUUAGGUAUGAUGCUUCCUUGAAUUCGCCGCCGAGGAAUGUUUCUUUUAUCGUGACUGAAUUGUACAAUUAUAAUAUGAAAUCUCAAAAUCACUUUCUCGUCUUAGAGAAACAAAAAAAAAUCGUUUUUUUAUCUGGCAAUGCAAUUGUUAUGCUUUUUAUGUGUGUGACUCUUUUUUGUGUAUAUAAUGAAAAUUGAAUUAUAUAAAUGACGCUUUUGUUUUUUCGCUGUUUAGCCAAUGCUAAUUAUAGAAUUUUGACCCUUGUUUGUAGUGUGAUUCAUAUUCAUCGCGAAAUUUAAAAAAAAAACCAACAAACAUGUUAUGCAGUGCUUAAAUUCACACCUCAUCUAGAGGCCCAUUCUCCGAAAAUUGAAAGAGAAAAGUCAACAAGUGUGCUAGAAAAUGUAAGUUUCAUCAGAUGAACUUUGGCAACGGUUCAUGUUGCGUUUUUUAAUACCAAGGUAGUGUAGUUUUGUUGUUUUCGGAACAUAAAUACGUGUAAUAGCGACACUGACCUCUCUGUGCCUGCAUUCCUGUGCCUUCACACACUGGGGUCAGUCUUACAGAUCAAAUCCAUAGGCGAAAGCCACUCACAUGACUCUUCAUAUGUUUCCAAUAAUUACCGAUCACAGCUAGAUAUUUUGAAAAUACCUUCGCAGUAUUUGCAUAUUUCUUGCAAAAUUUGAUUGGAAAACAUUUAAAAAUAAUUUGAAAAGAUUUUUGAGCUACAGUUUUGAGAAAUAUUUGAAAAUAUUAAUAAUUGUAAUGUUUUAAUAAAAAUAUCUCUGCUCCAGUAUUUCCAAAAUAUUUUUAAAAUUAUCUUAAACCAUUUUGACAAAGAAAGAAAGGAGGAACCUGAAAAUAUUUCGAAUUAUUUAGCCAACAUCUUGCCAAAGAACGGACAUUCUAGGGAGACACGUGCAUACAUUUUGAAAAUUUUUUCACCACGUACGUAAGACGAAAUCCUAUUAGAGAUAUUAUGUACAUAUUAAAAAAAAAGUAUUUUCCUCGAAAAAUUACGGAGAGGAAAAGAGGGCAUGAUCCCGACUAGACCAGCACAUUUUUAAACAAAAAGUUUUACAUAUAAAAGAAUAAAGGCAGAUUUGGACCCAAAGAAUCCGGUGUGUAGUAUGUCUGUUUAACCGCGAAGGACCGUUGGGACACCCUGUAAUUUCUGCAUUCGAGUCACCAUAGACACUGCCCAACAAAUUGUCAAUUGUUUUUUUCAUACUUUUUAUUAUUUAUUCUUGGCAUUUUUACACUCAAUUUCUCACCUUUGACAAGUACUCUCCCCAUGUGUUUGCGUCGCAUGAAGUUCGUGUGUGUGCUCUUUCCGAACUCAUCGAAAAUUGUUGAUGCAGUUUUUGCACUCAGCUCUCAUAUUUACUUUAUUUCAAGUUCGUUGCGCGACCGAAUCGACAAAUAAUAUUUGCGAUGCACGCGUUUGAAUGGCCCUUGUCUUUGGUGAACUCUCAUUUGAACAACAUUUAUUAAAAACAUUUUGAAUGCGAUGUACACACCCCC